Arachis duranensis is the source of this 1138-nucleotide long non-coding RNA. RefSeq lists it as uncharacterized. The record is from RefSeq and is a predicted model, not a curated record. The transcript is spliced from 6 exons. Lineage: Eukaryota; Viridiplantae; Streptophyta; Magnoliopsida; Fabales; Fabaceae.
AAAUCCAAAAUCACAGGCUAGUCAUCAGCAUCAAAAGUUCAAAACACAUAUUCACCAUGUGUCCAGCUCCCCUGUCAAAAAACACAAACCAUUUCUCACUCUCAUCUUCUUUUCUUUCUCAAUCUCCUCCGUACCUUCCUCUCCUCGUUGCACCACAUCGACGCCGCGGCUCUGGAAUGUGAUGCCGUCGCUGCAGCUUUGCUGCGUCCCAUCGCCGCCUCGCCGUGCUCCUCUGCUUCUCUUUCCUCCACUUCUUUCUUGUGCUCCCCGUCGUACUCCUCUGUUGCCGUGCCACCUCAGCUCCAUCCAUCGCUGCUCGAUUCACUCUCCAUCAUCACAAUAGUGAGGUAGGCAAUGGAUCAUGGGAUUCAUGGUUUCUGCCUUUGUCAGAGCAGACUAAUAUUGUUUGUGAAAAGAUGAUUAGGAUUCCUGCAGUAUUAUGCAAAACACACUAGAAGCAGCAAUAAAUGACAUAAACAAUUCUUUUGGAAAGGGAAGUUUUACAAGUUGGGCAAUGCUGGGGGAGCUUUAGUUGAAACAUGUCCUAGCGGCUGUUUGACCUUGGACUGUGCUUUAGGUGGCGGUCUUCCAAAAGGUAGAAUUGCUGAGGUGCUAAACGCAGGCAAAAAUAAGCUUAGAUCCAUGGAUGAGGUCAGAUCACUUGUUAGCCUCCGAGCACUAAUUUUGAAGGGUCAGACUUCUUUUGCUAACUAUCUACUUUGAAGACAAGAAGAGGGCAAGAUUCCAUGGUUAGAAUGAGGAUGAUCAUGCUGAAGUUGUUGAUAAUCUUGAAUUUGAGAGAAAAUCGAGUAAGAAAAAGAAGAAAACUGUUGAUGAUUUCAAGAAGGAAGUCAGAGUCGCUGACGAGGAAAAUUAGAUCAUAACAAGAAAUCAACUAAGAAAAAGCUCAAGAAUGAUAGACAAGCCCACAGACAAGAAAUUAGCUCUGCAGGAGAAUGUUAUUUGGAUCGAGAAGAAACAUAAGAAAAAACAAGAAUGAGAAAAAAGUGAACUUGAUACGAUUGUUUAUAUCUAAUGUAUCAAUACACUAUUUGUGUUUAUGUUUUGAGUUGACUUGUUUGUUUUUAAUAUUUUUCUUUUAGUUUGAUAAUACGAUGAACUUGUUUAUUUUUUAAAA